RNAcentral lists this long non-coding RNA (749 nucleotides) under Mytilus galloprovincialis (Mediterranean mussel). Lineage: Eukaryota; Metazoa; Mollusca; Bivalvia; Mytilida; Mytilidae. The record is from RNAcentral.
UUCCAGGGCAGAUAGAUCGUGACAUGAUCAACAAUUUUACUUCCUGUCAGAUUUGCUCUUAAUGCUUUGGUUUUUGAGUUAUAAGCCAAAAACUGCAUUUUACCCCCAUGUUCUAUUUUUAGCCAUGGCGGCCAUCUUGAUUUGUUGGCCGAGUUACCGGACACAUUUUUUUUAACUAGAUACCCCAAUGAUGAUUAUGGCUAAGUUUGGUUAAAUUUGGCCCAGUAGUUUCAGAGGAGAAGAUUUUUCUAAAAGAUUACUAAGAUUUACAAAAAAUGGUUAAAAAUUGACUAUAAAGAGCAAUAACUCCUAAAGUGGUCAACUGACCAUUUUGGUCAUGAUGACUUAUUUGUAGAUCUUACUUUGCUGAACAUUAUUGCUGUUUACAGUUUAUCUCUAUCUAUAAUAAUAUUCAAGAUAAUAACCAAAAACAGCAAAAUUUCCUUAAAAUUACCAUUUCAGGGGCAGCAACCCAACAACGGAUGUCUUGAUUCAUCUGAAAAUUUCAGGGCAGAUAGAUCUUGACCUGAUGAACAAUUUUACCCCAUGUCAGAUUUGCUCUAAAUGCUUUGGUUUUUGAGUUAUAAGCCAAAAACUGCAUUUUACCCCUAUGUUCUAUUUUAAGCCAUGGCGGCCAUCUUGGUUGGUUGGCCGGGUCACCGGACACAUUUUUUAAACUAGAUACCCCAAUGAUGAUUAUGGCCAAGUUUGGUUAAAUUUGGCCCAGUAGUUUCAGUGGAGAAGAUUUU